Molecule: ribosomal RNA, 494 nt
Filed under: uncultured bacterium
Lineage: Bacteria
Description: partial 16S ribosomal RNA
Rfam family: Bacterial small subunit ribosomal RNA
Source: RNAcentral
GAUGAACGCUGGCGGCGUGCCUAAUACAUGCAAGUAGAACGCUGAAGGAGGAGCUUGCUCUUCUGGAUGAGUUGCGAACGGGUGAGUAACGCGUAGGUAACCUGCCUGGUAGCGGGGGAUAACUAUUGGAAACGAUAGCUAAUACCGCAUGACAACAGUUAUUGCAUGAUAACUGUUUAAAAGGGGCAACUGCUCCACUACCAGAUGGACCUGCGUUGUAUUAGCUAGUUGGUGAGGUAACGGCUCACCAAGGCGACGAUACAUAGCCGACCUGAGAGGGUGAUCGGCCACCCUGGGAUUGAGACACGCCCCAGACUCUUCGGGGGGGAAGCGGCAGGGAAUCUUCGGCAAUGAACGGAAGUUGAACCGGGCAACGCCGCGGGAGGGAAGAGGGUUUUCGGUCGUAAAGCUCUGUUGUAAGAGAAGAACGAGUGUGAGAGUGGAAAGUUCACACUGUGACGGUAUCUUACCAGAAAGGGACGGCUAACUACGUG